Molecule: long non-coding RNA, 268 nt
Filed under: Lathyrus oleraceus (garden pea)
Lineage: Eukaryota; Viridiplantae; Streptophyta; Magnoliopsida; Fabales; Fabaceae
Description: Pisum sativum (pea) long non-coding RNA (PSAT_LNC036111)
Source: RNAcentral
GUUGUAUAUAACAUUUUUAGAACAAGAAUCGAGACAAUGAUGUGAAUUUAGCUCAUCUUAAUUCAAUUUAACAAAAAAAAAACUCGACAUGGUGGAGGUUACAGUGAAGAUAAGUGAACGAAAAGUGGAAUACUAUAGCAAACAGUGGCGGAACUAAGGGGGGAUGUGGGAAGGCCACGAUCACCCCUCAACUUUUUAUUUUUUUUAAUUCAUAUAUAUUAAAUUACUAAAACAUCCUUAUUUUAAAUUAAAAUUAUUUUUUCUUUUU